RNAcentral lists this ribosomal RNA (492 nucleotides) under uncultured bacterium. Its description in RNAcentral is "partial 16S ribosomal RNA". It matches the Rfam family "Bacterial small subunit ribosomal RNA", at positions 29 to 507 of the family's 1533-position model. The record is from RNAcentral.
AGUGAACGCUGGCGGUAGGCCUAACACAUGCAAGUCGAACGGCAGCACAGUAAGAGCUUGCUCUUACGGGUGGCGAGUGGCGGACGGGUGAGGAAUACAUCGGAAUCUACUUUUUCGUGGGGGAUAACGUAGGGAAACUUACACUAAUACCGCAUACGACCUGCGGGUGAAAGCAGGGGAUCUUCGGACCUUGCGCGAUUGAAUGAGCCGAUGUCGGAUUAGCUAGUUGGCGGGGUAAAGGCCCACCAAGGCGACGAUCCGUAGCUGGUCUGAGAGGAUGAUCAGCCACACUGGAACUGAGACACGGUCCAGACUCCUACGGGAGGCAGCAGUGGGGAAUAUUGGACAAUGGGCGCAAGCCUGAUCCAGCCAUACCGCGUGGGUGAAGAAGGCCUUCGGGUUGUAAAGCCCUUUUGUUGGGAAAGAAAAGCAGCAGGUUAAUACCCCGCUGUUCUGACGGUACCCAAAGAAUAAGCACCGGCUAACUUCGUG